GCAUAUCAAUAAGCGGAGGAAAAGAAACCAACAGGGAUUCCCCUAGUAACGGCGAGUGAAGCGGGAACAGCUCAAAUUUGAAAUCUGGCCUUCGGGUCCGAGUUGUAAUUUGCAGAGGAUGCUUUUGGUGCGGUGCCUUCCGAGUUCCCUGGAACGGGACGCCUUAGAGGGUGAGAGCCCCGUACGGUUGGCCACCAAGCCUGUGUAAAGCUCCUUCGACGAGUCGAGUAGUUUGGGAAUGCUGCUCAAAAUGGGAGGUAUAUUUCUUCUAAAGCUAAAUACUGGCCAGAGACCGAUAGCGCACAAGUAGAGUGAUCGAAAGAUGAAAAGCACUUUGAAAAGAGGGUUAAAUAGCACGUGAAAUUGUUGAAAGGGAAGGAUUUAUGACCAGACUUUUUCUAGGGGGAUCAUCCGGCGUUCUCGCCGGUGCACUUCCCCUAGUUGAGGCCAGCAUCGGUUUCUGCCGGGGGAUAAAAGCUUCGGGAAUGUGGCUCCUUCGGGAGUGUUAUAACCCGUUGCAUAAUACCCUGGCGGGGACCGAGGUUCGCGCAUCUGCAAGGAUGCUGGCGUAAUGGUUAUUAAUCACCCGUCUUGAAACACGGACCAAGGAGUCGAACAUUUGUGCGAGUGUUUGGGUGUUAAACCCUCACGCGUAAUGAAAGUGAACGGAGGUGAGAGCCCUUACGGGUGCAUCAUCGACCGAUCCUGAUGUCUUCGGAUGGAUUUGAGUAAGAGCAUAACUGUUCGGACCCGAAAGAUGGUGAACUAUGCGUGGAUAGGGUGAAGCCAGAGGAAACUCUGGUGGAGGCUCGCAGCGGUUCUGACGUGCAAAUCGAUCGUCAAAUCUGCGCAUGGGGGCGAAAGACUAAUCGAACCAUCUAGUAGCUGGUUACCGCCGA
Molecule: ribosomal RNA, 899 nt
Filed under: Trichophyton ochoterenai
Lineage: Eukaryota; Fungi; Ascomycota; Eurotiomycetes; Onygenales; Arthrodermataceae
Description: LSU rRNA
Rfam family: Eukaryotic large subunit ribosomal RNA
Source: RNAcentral